CCUUGCCAGCCCGCUCAGAAACUUAAAGGAAGUUGACGGGGCCCGCACAAGCGGUGGAGCAUGUGGUUAAUUCGAUGAUACGCGAGGAACCUUACCUGGGCUCAAAUGUAUGUUGACGUAUUCUGAAAGGGAUACUUCUUCGGACAAUAUACAAGGUGCUGCAUGGUUGUCGUCAGCUCGUGCCGUGAGGUGUCGGGUUAAGUCCCAUAACGAGCGCAACCCCUAUCAUUAGUUGCCAUCAGGUCAAGCUGGGGACUCUAAUGAAACUGCCUACGCAAGUAGUGAGGAAGGUGGGGAUGACGUCAAAUCAGCACGGCCCUUACGUCCAGGCUACACACGUGCUACAAUGGCCGGUACAAAGGGCAGCUACCUGGUGACAGGAUGCUAAUCUCAAAAGCCGGUCUCAGUUCGGAUCGGAGUCUGCAACCCGACUCCGUGAAGCUGGAAUCGCUAGUAAUCGUGAAUCAGAAUGUCACGGUGAAUACGUUCCCGGGCCUU
This 498-nucleotide ribosomal RNA is filed under the name uncultured Sphingobacteriales bacterium. Its description in RNAcentral is "bacterial SSU rRNA". It matches the Rfam family "Bacterial small subunit ribosomal RNA", at positions 903 to 1382 of the family's 1533-position model. The record is from RNAcentral. Lineage: Bacteria; Pseudomonadati; Bacteroidota; Sphingobacteriia; Sphingobacteriales.